Cotesia glomerata is the source of this 288-nucleotide long non-coding RNA. RefSeq lists it as uncharacterized. The record is from RefSeq and is a predicted model, not a curated record. The transcript is spliced from 2 exons. Lineage: Eukaryota; Metazoa; Arthropoda; Insecta; Hymenoptera; Braconidae.
GUCAAUGGAACAUACAUUGUUGGUUGUACAACCGUUGUAAAGGUUUUCUUGAGAGAUGGGCGGACUCAUGAAGCUAUGUCAUUCAAAGAAUCUCGUAGCGAAUCAAUUGGCGCAGCUUAUGAUGAAGCACGAAAUAAAUCUUUCCAUCGAGCCUUGUAUGACGCCUUUACGUUUUUUUGGGAAUUUAUGAAGAUAAUGGAGAAGCUGAGUAAUGAAAAGGUGCAAAGAAUGGUCAAGCAGCAACAGUUAAAAGCCGAAUGGAAUAAUAAAAAUAUUGUAAAAAAUUAA